RNAcentral lists this ribosomal RNA (254 nucleotides) under uncultured bacterium. RNAcentral's name for it is "partial 16S ribosomal RNA". It matches the Rfam family "Bacterial small subunit ribosomal RNA", at positions 524 to 776 of the family's 1533-position model. The record is from RNAcentral.
UACGUAGGGUCCGAGCGUUGUCCGGAAUUAUUGGGCGUAAAGGGCUCGUAGGCGGUUUGUCGCGUCGGGAGUGAAAACUCAGGGCUCAACCCUGAGCGUGCUUCCGAUACGGGCAGACUAGAGGUAUGCAGGGGGAGAACGGAAUUCCUGGUGUAGCGGUGGAAUGCGCAGAUAUCAGGAGGAACACCGGUGGCGAAGGCGGUUCUCUGGGCAUUACCUGACGCUGAGGAGCGAAAGCCAGGGGAGCAAACAGG